Molecule: long non-coding RNA, 280 nt
Organism: Oreochromis niloticus (Nile tilapia)
Lineage: Eukaryota; Metazoa; Chordata; Actinopteri; Cichliformes; Cichlidae
Exons: 3
Source: RefSeq, a predicted model, not a curated record
GUGAGCUCUCUGAUGAAGGUGUACUCAGCUGUGCUGUGGAAUGAGGCCAGAUGUCCACCGAGUGUCUCACAGGAUCUCUGAGGAGGAAGAUGAGGUGCACAGAAGAUAAAAAGUCAUCAGGCCAGUUCUUCAUGCUGCUUUUAAAGAUGAAACAGCGACCUCCAAACCAAGUCCAACCAGGAGGGCAGGAAGCAUCUUCAAAAUGAUUGCAAAGUUAAAAGAGUGAAGGCAAAGGACCAACAAGUGCUCAGCAUCUCUGGGAACUCCUUCAAGACUGUUG